UACGGAGGAUGCGAGCGUUAUCCGGAUUUAUUGGGUUUAAAGGGUGCGUAGGCGGGCUUUUAAGUCAGCGGUAAAAAUUCGGGGCUAACCCCGUCCGGCCGUUGAAACUGGGGGCCUUGAGUGGGCGAGAAGAAGGCGGAAUGCGUGGUGUAGCGGUGAAAUGCAUAGAUAUCACGCAGAACCCCGAUUGCGAAGGCAGCCUUCCGGCGCCCUACUGACGCUGAGGCACGAAAGUGCGGGGAUCGAACAGG
RNAcentral lists this ribosomal RNA (251 nucleotides) under uncultured bacterium. RNAcentral describes it as "partial 16S ribosomal RNA". It matches the Rfam family "Bacterial small subunit ribosomal RNA", at positions 524 to 776 of the family's 1533-position model. The record is from RNAcentral.